ACGCUCGACACCUACGGGAGGCAGCAGUGGGGGAUAUUGCGCAAUGGGGGAAACCCUGACGCAGCAACGCCGCGUGAAGGACGAAGGUUUUCGGAUUGUAAACUUCUUUUGUUAGGGACGAAGAAAUGACGGUACCUGACGAAUAAGCUCCGGCUAACUACGUGCCAACAGCCGCGGUAAUCUGAGCGGGCUGGCAAGGC
Molecule: ribosomal RNA, 200 nt
Filed under: uncultured bacterium
Lineage: Bacteria
Description: partial 16S ribosomal RNA
Rfam family: Bacterial small subunit ribosomal RNA
Source: RNAcentral